This is a long non-coding RNA of Phragmites australis (common reed), 6963 nucleotides long. RefSeq lists it as uncharacterized. The transcript has 3 exons. The record is from RefSeq and is a predicted model, not a curated record. Lineage: Eukaryota; Viridiplantae; Streptophyta; Magnoliopsida; Poales; Poaceae.
GGAGUAUCCGACCUACACCGGAGACUCCAGGUACAACAUAGCUGACCUCCGAAAAACGGUGAUAACUUUUGAUUCCGGAGUCCGAUUUCGACGAUUUUGGACUCUAUGGAAAGCUUAUUCAGAGGGCUACACAUCCCAACUGAAUUCAUGACCUAAAACACAUAGGAUUAAAUUAGGAACACUCUAAAACCUAUUUUGGACACUUCCGCACUUCCCGCUCCGGACUCUUAACGACAAACUCUCACUUUGGGUUUGGUUGGGAACUCUUGAGCACUGAGACGUGACAAUUAGCUCACGUUGCAUCCCUCUUAAUAGUGCGGCAUACCUAUACUCAAAUUCAAAGAUAAAACUCGUUUGAACCACUUUGAGUAUUUGAAAACUUUCAAGUAUCGCUUCUUUUUCUUUCAAACCUUGAGGGUUGCCAACUUCCAUAUAUUCUUCACUCUAUCUCUUCUUGAUUCUUCAUAUGAUUGAUGUGAAUCAUCCAUAUCUUCCUAUAGCCUCGCACGGUCCAUCGGCGCAAAGCCUUCACUCGCUCUUCACCACCGCCUUGGUCCUUCGGCGCCAAGCCAUUUGCUUGCCCUUCACCACGGAUGGUCCAUCGCAGCUGAGUCUUGCUUGCCCUUCACCGUCUUGCCAUAGAAAACCACUUUGUAUUCGACAUCUUCAAGGAAUUCACUUUUUCAUAUAUGGAGUCCACUCUUGUUCUUCACUGUUGGCACAUAUAAUUUCAAUUCAACUUAUACCUUCUUAUGAAUCCUAACCCCAACUCACUCUUAAGCACAAAGCACAUGGGUUAGUCCAUGAAACCUAAAUGAUAACAUUUAUACCUUAAGUUACUUGAUCUACACAAGUAACUUAUUAGCCUUCAUGCAUAUUGUCAAUCUUCAUAUAGAACCUAACCCUACUCAUUCUUAAACACAUAGCACACGGGUUAGUCCAUAAAACUCUAUUGACAAGCAUACCUUUAGUUACUUGAUCUCCACAAGUAACUUAGCCUUCAAGCUUAUUGCUAAUCUUAUUGAGCUUCUUCUUCUUCUUAUGAGUAUCACUAAAAUCUCAAUGACUUUUGAUGCAAUUCUUUGAACUCAUGACAUUUCUCAAAGAAUCCAUGCUUCAUCAUUUAUGCAUCUCCUAUGGAAUAACCUAAUAGCAAUUCUCAAUAUGAUUGUUAGUCCAUAGGCAUUGUCAUCACUUACCCGAGCAUCACCUAGAGCUCAUGCAUCUUGAUGCAUUUUCAAUCUCCCCAUUUACUUAGAGCUCAUACAUAUUUCUCAUCCAUGCAUCACCUAUGGAAUAACCUACUAACAAACUCAACACCAUUGUUAGUCCAUAGGUAUUGUCAUUAAUUAUCAAAACUACACAUAGAGGCUAGAUGCACUUUCACUUAUGACCUAAGUCUCCAAAUCCCCAAUACCAACUCAAGGCUUUCAAAUCUUCUCUGGAACUAAAACUGAUUGGGGCCACUUCAUGUUGAUGAUAACUUUCUUGGACACCUAAAUAGGUUGGUUCCACCUCCGGUCCUUUCUCCCAACCAUAUGUGUAACCACUUUACCAUUUUUCUUUUUUUUAAGCUUUUAGUGGUUGUUUUGAUCUUGAUCUUGUAGUUGGGCUUGGUAUAGAGGUUGGAAGUUUUGUUGGAGAGGUUCAUCAGCUUUUUUCUCUUCUUGGUUUCUUUUUUGACUUGCUUGCAUCGGAAAGACUUAUGGCCUUCUUGAUGAUACUUGAAGCAUGUCACGAUUGACCCCUCUACAACCUUAUUCACCAUGGUUGUAUGAUUAUCUUGAGUAAGUUGGACAUGUUCUCUGCCCUUUAAUCUUGCUAAGUCUUUUGUGGACCUCUCCACUUCUUGCUUGAGCGUAUCAUUCUCUUGUUCAAUAAGGUCAUUAUAUGAUUCUACAAGAACAUUUUUAACACAUAUCUUAUUGCAAAGGGGUGAGCUAGAUGUAAUAAUUAAAUCAUUACAAGAAGUGAUAAUAUCUACCUUAGAAUUGAAAUUAAAAAUAGAAGUAGAUUGCUUUAAAGGGGCCUUAUAUUGCUAUUCAAUGCACUCAAAUUUUUUCUUAAGCUUUUUAUGCUCCUUGUUUAGCAAUUCAAUUUUACUCAACAAUUAUUUAUAAUUGGAAACAAAAGUAGCAUAAACGUCAAUAAGAGCAUUGAAUUUCUUAAGUUCUUUAGAUUAUUUCUUUAAGUCUCUUUGUUGCUCAUUUAUCAAAUUAAGAAGUUCUUCUUGAAAGUGUGAAUCCUUAUUGGACUCAUCAUCACUCACAUCAUUUUUCAUACCUUAGGCUAUAAGGCACUUAUGUGAUGACUUACGUGAUGAUGAUCUUGAAAAAGAGCUUCUCUUAGAGGAGUGGAUGGUGAAACUCUCAUCACUUGAGCUUAAAUCUUCAUCUCGACUUACUCAUCUUUCUAUGCUUGCAAAUACUUUGCCUCUUCCUCUUGUCUUCCUCUUGUUUUUGAUCUUCUUCUCUAUCUUGAUAUGAUCAAUUAUGUUGACCAAGUCUUUUAUAGAGAUUUGAUGGUCAAUCUUGGUAUUAAUCAUCUUGUUGUUCUUCUCUACUUGUGAGAUGAGCCUGGCGAUCUUGGGAUCAAUCUAUUCAUCACUUGAGGUGUUUUGCUCAUCUUCUUCCUAGCUCUCUUCAUCUUUAUCACCAUCAUUUUUGCUUGAGCUUGACUCUUACUCUUAUCUCCUCAUCUUUGCUUUCAUGUGUCAGUAUGAUACUUGCUUGCUUGUGAGAGCAAAGUUCUUGGCUUCGGAUGAGGAAGAAGCUUCCAUCAUCAUGUUCAUAGUUAUCUCAUGGGCAAUGAUCUUACUGAGCACUUAGCUUGGAGUUAUCUUGGCGAUAUCGUUGUUGUCAUAGAUGAUGUAUACUAUUAACUUGUACUUUAGAUGAAGAGUUUAACGUAUUCUUCUCACCACUUAAUUAUCUCCAAUUGACGUCAAACCAUCUCAUUACGCACAUCAUUUAUGCCUUCAUGUAUUUUAAUGAGGCUAGUUCAAAUAUCAUGUACAUCUGUGAGAGAAUAAACCUGAUUAAAUACAUCAACACAUAAAAAUAAUAAAAUAAUAUUCUUCGCUAAAGUAUCGCAUUCUCUCUUUGUUUUCGAAGCGUUGCCUCAUCCCUUCUUCGGUGACUCUCUAAACAUCUAACCCCUUGGUUUGAAGAAAACAUAUCAUUAGAAUUUUUCAUCAGGAAAAAUUAGUGCCAUCAAAAUAUAGUGUUAUGGGUAUCCAUCCCAACCACAGAUAUCACAACUCUAGGAGGUUAAACCUUAUCAAGAGCACAAGGCUUUGAUACCAAUUUUAGGGAUCGAUGAUGUCUUAAGAGGAGGUGAAUUAGGACAUUUGAAACUAAUCGGCUUCAAAAACUUCACAAAAUAAACCUAUAUUAAUUUUUUAUCUAAACAUAAUCUAGAUUUAUCUAGUAUGUCUACUCUACUAUUCAAAAGAGAUUGCAACCUAUCUAAAAAGGUAAAUUGCAAAUAUGUAAGUGCAGAAACGUAAACAAGGUAGAGAGAAAAAACUCGACACAAGGAAUUUUUAUUUCGUUGUAUCGAUGGCAUAAAUGCCACCUCUAGUCUAUGUUGGAGCAGUCACCUAAGCUAUAACUCUCGGACGACACCCCGUUAUGACCAUUGAGCCACCAAGGACAUACGCAGGUAGAGUUACCAAGCCACUAAUGCAAGGUCUCACCAUAAGGCUCUAUUCUGGUCACUUGUCGCCGUCUUCAUUUUACAUUUUAAAAAGCUUGAGCCACCAAGGCCCAAGGUGCCGGUGAGUCAAAAAGAUUCUAAGGAGCCGACGUACCACUUGGUACAAGUCAGGAUCACUCCUUGAUCCCCUCUCUAAGCAGCAACACCUAGACACAACUAUCUCUAGGUCUAUUAGCACUAAUCACUCUCUAAUCAUAUGCUUAAUUUCCUUGGAUGAUCACCUUAAGGUCUUUUGUGGCUUAGAUAUCUUUUCUAGUGUAUGUGAGCUUCUCUGGACUCUAGUACUUCAAAUGAUCGAGUGGAGGAGCGUUUAUAGCCUCAACCCUACAGACUAGUUGUUGCCCCAAUAUCUCAACUUUAUUGUAUACGCCGGAUGUUUCUGUGUAAACAACAUUAUACUUACCGGACUAUCUGGCGUGUACAUCCUUUAAAAAACUAGCUAUUGGAACCCCACUCAAAUCCUCUGUGAAUACCGGACAUUUCGGUGUGUUCUUCACUUCAUCGCCGGACCAUUCAGCAUGUUGUCUUAGUCUGAUUGAGCCACUAAAAUCUUCUCUGUAAGAAUUUCUCCGUGUGUUGAACUUCUGAGCGCUAGAUCAUCCGGUGCAUUGACCUUCAAUCUUCAAUACUUGGAACCUUCUCUGCAACUAGUACUCUAUCGCGUACCAUCCGGUGAGUACAUCUCAGUGCGUGGGACCUUCCAAUGUACACAAAUACUCUGGUGAAUGUUAGCAUCGAACCUUCCAGUGUGCAUAACUGUUUUCUCCCUCACUGUCAAAAAUACUCUAGCGUGUUGUUCUCCAAAGUGCUGGACCAUCUAGUGUGUUGAUUCUUCUUUGAGCCCUUUUGACAUAAAUACUCUGGCGUAUAUAACUCGGGUAUCAUCGGACCUUUCGAUGUAAUCAUUUUUCCUGAGACUUCUCCAAUUCAGUCAAACUUUAUCUCCGUUUCAGUAGUUUUUUCAUGUAUUACAUCCAUGAGACCUACUAAAGUAUAUACUUGACAAACAUGUUAGUCUCAUUGACUUAUAUUGUCAUUAGUCACCAAAAUCACAUACAUGCUCUAAGAGGGUCAUGCGCUACACGCGCCUAAGUUGCCUAUGGUAUUGGAUUGUUCCACUUUGUGUCGUUUCGUUCCAUUGUAGGUGCAUGGCUGGUCUACCAUGGAUCUUAGUCCACAAGAUCAUCGUUCGCUCUGUUUAGGAGGCACAGAGGACCCGAGACUAGGGUCGUUACACCCGUCGUGCUGUGCUAGCCCGGCAUGAUUAUAAAUGGAUUGUGCUGUGCUUGGGCCGUGCCCACAGAACCUGGUUGUGUGUCAGCCUAUUUGGCCAGCUCUAAUGGAUUCAGAAAAAUUGUUCCUACCGGGUGAUAAAGACUGAGGUAGAUGGAUGGCAUACAAUCCAGUUUGCAGGUGGCAAGAAUUCGCCAAGAAAGUUCCAGCUAACUCUUUUCUGGUCAAGUAAUGGUACCCAUGCAUCCAUCUGCAAAAGGAGCUAAAGAAGCAGCAGAUAUCCUUUCUUAUUAAAACUAAGAACAGAUGUGAAUAGAGUUACACCGAAGGUUGCAAAGGUUCCUCUCUUCCAAAAAAAAAAAAACUGCAAAGGUUCUUGAAAAGCUUCCACGAUGGUUCACACCAUUCGGCAAGUCCACUUCUUCUUACACACUAGCUUUCUUGACGAUCCUUCGUGUCAACAUUUAGGCGGUAAAAUUCGUUCCUCCGACUUGGGUAAUCACAUAGCGUCCAUUUAUCCUGUAUUUAGCUAUGCACAUUAGAUUACCAUCCAAAGAUAGAAUUUAUAGACAUCAAAUAUACUCCUCAACACCAAAGCUGCCAGAAGUUUUGAACUAAAAAAAAUAAGCGUUGGACAUAGAUAAGAACUGGAGAAAGGUUCAAACACAUGUCUUGCAAAUUAUUAGUUUCAUGUUAAAAUCCUUCGGAUGGAAUAAUAGUUGUAAAAAGGAUGGUUUCUGCAUUCUCGAUUUGCUUGCAUUCGGUUCAGCUUCUCUACAUUUUCGAUUUCAUGCUCCGACAUGAGUUUGUGCUCCAGAAAGUACUCGUGGCUCAUGAAACCAUGCAUGCGCCCGCUUUCUUUUGUUUGCUUCCAUCCAGAGCAUGGUGACGGUCAGCAAUAGACCAUGCAGCUGCCAAAUCGAUGCGUCCUCUUUACGGCUCAACCCAUCGUGGUGGGAAAUUGCCUGCCAUUUUUGACCGCACUCUGAAUCGUCCCUUCCGUCUGCCACCAGUGCUAUAUCUGAACAACUAACUCCGCAAAGCAGCUGAAUGGUAUAACUUGCGAGGCCCAGGAGCCAGGAUUAGCAACAGUCCAGUGUGGAAGCAGCCACACCUUAUCCUUGUCCACUCGGAGAAGCUAGUCCUGCCAGACAAACGACAGAACCGAGGAUGCGUCCAUCAUGAGUGCGCACGAGCACAGUCCCAACGCCCAAGGCCGUUCGUGCGCGCGCGGGAGCAUAGAGUCUUCCAUUCCCGUCGCUCGCGCGCCCAACCGAGGCGAGCCUUUGACGACGGGGAGAGGAGCUCCAGGAACACCGAGCCGCGGUCCGAGGCCCCGGCACGGGAGCAAGUUUCGCCGGUUUUCCCUGGCCGAAGCCGUUGCCUGCCCACGCCGGUCAAACGAACACGACAAGAGAUCACCGCAAACAAGGCCGCAGCAGCACUGGUAGUUUUGGCGCUAUCGAGCACUGCAAGCACCGGGAUCAGCGAGGCCACCUUUGCAGCGCGGGUGGUGUGUCGCCUAGUGGCUUGUUUUGCUGCUGCGAGGCACUGAAAGCAAGGAGGAGCCCGGCUGGCCAUUAGCUGGGUUUUCUAUGCCUUUGGCUGUGCGCACGCGUGGAGAGCAGCAGCUCAAACCGAGCGCGGCAUGGCCAUGUUAUGUGUUGCGCCAGUAGGUUGCGCGGUGAGGUCCACUACGGGUGAUGGUGCCGGCCUCUGCCCUUGUUACUGCCAUGCACCCGCACGUGAGGCGUCGGGACAAAGUUCCCCUUGGGAGGAGGGCGAUUGGGCAUAGCGUGCUACUGCUCGUCAUUGAUGUUUCACAAGAGACAAGCUCGCGCUACUGUAGCAUGGGGGUAGCUGUUAACGCGAGCAUCAUUUAAACUUGGAAGUGUAUGCCAGUAACUUGAACAUGAAUGGCUCUACUGCUGUGGAACUACUCAGCAUUUGUAACUUGCGUUGGUUGAACUGAUCGGCUGGCAGUGGUUGGCUAUGACCCUAUGUAAGGUAGAA